This is a non-coding RNA of Cinara cedri, 433 nucleotides long. The record is from the annotation of a GenBank genome assembly. Lineage: Eukaryota; Metazoa; Arthropoda; Insecta; Hemiptera; Aphididae.
CACACCGACGACUCCCACUUCUCCAUGGUAGCUACGUGGGCGUGUCUAUGUGAGCGACACCCGUAAAAUAUAUUUUAAAUUGAUAUGUGUGCUAGUAGGAUGGUAACACUGUUUAAGAGAUACUUGUGAUAAACUCGUUUAUUAUACAAGCAUUAAAUAUUCAAUAUAUUACUUGGUAGUACAUGUCAAAAUAACAUUUAUAGAAACUGCAAAUCUAAUAUCUGCCAAUGUCGGUGAAGGAUACAAAAAGUGUUCAUGUAAAGAAAAAUGUAAUACCAAUCGGUGUAAGUGUAAAUCAUCUAGCAAUUUUUGCAAUUCGAAAUGUCAUGGAAGCACACCAUAUAAUAAUAAAGGAUAGUAUUAAGGAAAGUAGUAGAUAACUCGUUAAAAAUAUAUUCAUAUUGUUUAAUAAUAAUAAUAAUUAUAAUAAUUU